This 73-nucleotide transfer RNA is filed under the name Nonomuraea sp. Its description in RNAcentral is "tRNA-Asn". It matches the Rfam family "tRNA". From Rfam's summary of the family: Transfer RNA (tRNA) molecules are approximately 80 nucleotides in length. Their secondary structure includes four short double-helical elements and three loops (D, anti-codon, and T loops). Further hydrogen bonds mediate the characteristic L-shaped molecular structure. tRNAs have two regions of fundamental functional importance: the anti-codon, which is responsible for specific mRNA codon recognition, and the 3' end, to which the tRNAs corresponding amino acid is attached (by aminoacyl-tRNA synthetases). tRNAs cope with the degeneracy of the genetic code in two manners: having more than one tRNA (with a specific anti-codon) for a particular amino acid; and 'wobble' base-pairing, i.e. permitting non-standard base-pairing at the 3rd anti-codon position. Lineage: Bacteria; Bacillati; Actinomycetota; Actinomycetes; Streptosporangiales; Streptosporangiaceae. RNAcentral also lists the same sequence under 4 other names. The record is from RNAcentral.
UGGGGUGUAGCUCAACUGGCAGAGCGCCCGGCUGUUAACCGGGAGGUUGCUGGUUCGACCCCAGCCGCCCCAG